CUGGGCUAUGGCGACAUGUAUCCACAGACGUGGCUGGGCAUGAUGGUAGGGGCGCUGUGCGCGUUGGCCGGGGUGUUGACCAUCGCCAUGCCGGUCCCUGUCAUCGUCAAUAAC
This is a non-coding RNA of Larimichthys crocea (large yellow croaker), 114 nucleotides long. NCBI's taxonomy places the organism in Eukaryota, Metazoa, Chordata, Actinopteri, Sciaenidae. The record is from Rfam.